CGAAAUGCGAUAUUUAGUGUGAGUUGCAGAAUUCAGUAAAUCAUCGAAUCUUUGAACGCAUAUUGCA
Molecule: ribosomal RNA, 67 nt
Filed under: uncultured Clavariaceae
Lineage: Eukaryota; Fungi; Basidiomycota; Agaricomycetes; Agaricales; Clavariaceae
Description: partial 5.8S ribosomal RNA
Rfam family: 5.8S ribosomal RNA
About the family: 5.8S ribosomal RNA (5.8S rRNA) is a component of the large subunit of the eukaryotic ribosome.
Source: RNAcentral